CGAAAGUCGGAGGUUCGAAGGCGAUCAGAUACCGCCCUAGUUCCGACCUUAAACCGUGCCGUCCGACCGCCCGCCAGGGUUACUACCGCGACUCGGCGGGCGGUCUCCCUCGCCCGGGAAACCCUUAAGUUUCCGGGUUCCGGGGGAAGUACGGUCGCAAAGCUGAAACUUAAAGGAAUUGACGGAAGGGCACCACCAGGAGUGGAGCCUGCGGCUUAAUUUGACUCAACACGGGGAACCUCACCCGGCCCGGACACCGUGAGGAUUGACAGACCGAGAGCUCUUUCUCGAUCCGGUGGGUGGUGGUGCAUGGCCGUUCUUAGUUGGUGGAGCGAUCUGUCUGGUUAAUUCCGAUAACGAACGAGACUCUAGCCGGUUAAGUAGCCCGCGCGGCGAUUCCGACCGCGAGGUCGGGAAAGCCUCCGUUCUCCCUCCCGCCCCGCUGCCGGUCCGGAAGGCGGCUUCGCGGCCGCCUUUCCGCGGCGAAAGGCGGCGUGGGAAGCGAGGAGACGCCGCCGGCUUACGAGUGAAAGAGCUUCUUAGAGGGACGAGCGGCGUUCAGCCGCGCGAGAUUGA
This 576-nucleotide ribosomal RNA is filed under the name Eoperipatus sp. IDSO-2016. RNAcentral's name for it is "bacterial SSU rRNA". It matches the Rfam family "Eukaryotic small subunit ribosomal RNA", at positions 984 to 1449 of the family's 1831-position model. Lineage: Eukaryota; Metazoa; Onychophora; Udeonychophora; Euonychophora; Peripatidae. The record is from RNAcentral.